RNAcentral lists this ribosomal RNA (494 nucleotides) under uncultured bacterium. RNAcentral's name for it is "partial 16S ribosomal RNA". It matches the Rfam family "Bacterial small subunit ribosomal RNA", at positions 28 to 507 of the family's 1533-position model. The record is from RNAcentral.
GACGAACGCUGGCGGCGUGCUUAACACAUGCAAGUCGAACGGUGAAGCGCCUUCCUUUUUGGUGGGUGUGGAUGAGUGGUGAACGGGUGAGUAACACGUGAGUAACCUGCCCCCUUCUUCUGGAUAACCGCAUGAAAGUGUGGCUAAUACGGGAUAUUCUGGGUCUGUCGCAUGAUGGGUCUGGGAAAGAUAUUGUUUCGGUGGGGGAUGGGCUCGCGGCCUAUCAGCUUGUUGGUGGGGUGAUGGCCUACCAAGGCGGUGACGGGUAGCCGGCCUGAGAGGGUGGACGGUCACACUGGGACUGAGACACGGCCCAGACUCCUACGGGAGGCAGCAGUGGGGAAUAUUGCACAAUGGGCGCAAGCCUGAUGCAGCGACGCCGCGUGAGGGAUGGAGGCCUUCGGGUUGUGAACCUCUUUCGCCAGUGAAGCAGGCCUGCCUCGUUUGUGGGUGGGUUGACGGUAGCUGGAUAAGAAGCGCCGGCUAACUACGUG